RNAcentral lists this transfer RNA (67 nucleotides) under Ennucula tenuis. Its description in RNAcentral is "tRNA-Gln". The record is from RNAcentral. Lineage: Eukaryota; Metazoa; Mollusca; Bivalvia; Nuculida; Nuculidae.
AUAUAAAUAGUGUACGGAGCACCUAGAGAUUUGACCUCUAUAGAAAGGUUCAAUUCCUUUUUAUAUA